Molecule: ribosomal RNA, 366 nt
Filed under: Haemaphysalis inermis
Lineage: Eukaryota; Metazoa; Arthropoda; Arachnida; Ixodida; Ixodidae
Description: partial 12S ribosomal RNA
Source: RNAcentral
GAUAGAUACCCUAUUAUUAAGAGCUAUAUAUUGUUAGUAAAUAUAAAUUACGAAAACAUAAAGUUAUGGCGGUAUUUCAAGCUUAUCAGAGGAAUUUGCUCUGUAAAGGAUAAAACGCCUAAAUCUUACUAAAAUUUGUAAAGUCAGUUUGUAUACCACUAUGAAAGUAAUAUUUUACUAUUAUUACUUCAAUAUUUUAAUUAGGUAAUAAAUUAAGUCAAGGUGCAGCAAAAAUUUUAGAUUGAAGUGAAUUACAUUUCUUUUUAGAGAUUUGAUUUGAAAGUAAAAUUUUAGGAUUUGAAAGUAAAAUUUUAAUAAAAUGAAAAUUUGAAUUAAGCUCUGAAAUAUGUACACAUCGCCCGUCGU